GGGGGGGGCACUCUAGUUCACUGCUCCCUGUGUCCAAAAAAAAAACAAUUCUGACUGCCAUCUCAGAAUAUAGCCAUGUUUAAUUAGAGUUUUUUUCAAAGUUAAACAUCAAUUAUGAAUAGCGAAAUAAUUAUAAAGACUAGUACCAUAAAAAUGAUGCUAGACUGUUAUAAUAUGUAACUUCUUUAUUUCAAAUAAAUUACUUUUAGAGAUAUUAUUGGUUAAAGUUAAAAGGUUAAUUUUAGAAAACUCUUGGUUUAGAGACAAGGUGGGACGGGAUGGUCCCGCCCCUAUUUUUUGGAAUGGGAUGGUCUCAUUUCGUGUUUGGUUCAGAAUGAGAAAAUGGGAUGGGUUCAUCCCAGUUCUAUGUUUGGUACAAGAAAUUGAGAAAAUGGGAUGGAUGGUGAAUUUAACACCGUUAACCCUACAUGUCAUCUAAAAAUAGACCCCACAUGUCAUUUCAAGAGCCUUAUCCUUUCUUCUUCCUGCUUGUCCCUGUUCUUCUCCCCCAAGCCCCGCCAUGGAGCUCUGCCGCCUCCUCUUCUCCUAGCGGCCAGGGAGAGCUGGCCCCGCGGCGGAGAUACCGGUCGGCCGCGCUGGCCUCAUCCCGGCGGCCGUGCUGGCUCGCUUAGCCUGGUCUCUCGCGGACGAAGGGAGAUGACAGGCGUGAUGGGGGCGAAGUGGGAU
Molecule: long non-coding RNA, 687 nt
Filed under: Setaria viridis
Lineage: Eukaryota; Viridiplantae; Streptophyta; Magnoliopsida; Poales; Poaceae
Description: long non-coding RNA (SVIR_LNC007496)
Source: RNAcentral